RNAcentral lists this long non-coding RNA (426 nucleotides) under Serinus canaria (Common canary). RNAcentral's name for it is "lncRNA (ENSSCAG00000011828.1)". The record is from RNAcentral. Lineage: Eukaryota; Metazoa; Chordata; Aves; Passeriformes; Fringillidae.
CACUGACAGGUGGAUAAUAGAAAUGUUCUGGACAGUCAGAGGGCUGCUGGAGAUGACAUAUGAGAAGCUGAUAAUACCUGUGAAAUUUGGUCCUACCAUGAAGAAAUGGUUGUUAGUAUGGCACUCCAUCCUUCAGUAAAUAUGUUCCAUGUGGAUAUUUAUAGUCCUGCCUGCUCCCUUCAGUGAGAACAGGACGUUCUUCCUCCCAUAAGCUCUGUGCAGCUGCCAGGAGAGAUGGUGGAAGCCUUUCCUCCCCUCACCUACUGUGGAUGUUCAUUGGUUUCAGUCCCACAGCCCCUGCAAUAUCCAAGGAUCUGUAAGAGUGUUUGUCACUGCUGUUCAGCUGAGAAAUGUUUUAGGAAACAAUUACCAUCUGCCUACUGCCUGAAGAGCAAGAAAACCAAUAAGUUCUGGAAGGCAAGGUGA